AAACGGAGCGAGAUCGAGAUAGGAAGAGGAGCUCCACAAAUGAACAGAUUUUUUUCUUUUCUUUUGUUAAUGGUUGCGAUGUGAACAGACGUUUUUGAUUUGAUGAAGAAUUGAAACCGCGUUUGUCCUCUCGCAAUCAUCACCAUGGCUUUUCUGUCGUUUCCUCACCAUAAAACGUCCUUCUCUAUUGGAUUCUUUUCAAUUUCUCUGCCAUUUUAGUUAAUUGCCUCUCAUCUUCAUGGCUGCAUCUCCCAACAACACACCAUUCUCCUAUUCCCAAUUCCCAUAAUCACGUCACUUUUCUCCUUUCCACUUCGUAAUUUUCGUCAAUUUCUGUUCAUACGCUUCUACAAUCAUUCUUCGAUUCAAUUUUGUAAGAAUCGGACUCCCAUUUCUCCCUCUUUUUAUGUUUUGCAGUUGUUGUAUCCAUGAAUCCUCAAUAUCCAGUGAAGGAGGAGGACUGGGGCUCAAGUUCGCCGGAGGUACGCGGCGGUUAUGGCUUCCCAGCCACGCCCCAGCCGAUGGAAGGUCUUUACGAUGGUGGUCCUCCGCCAUUUCUGAUCAAGAUAUUCGACAUGGUGGAGGAUCCGAUUACCGAACACAUUAUCUCUUGGGGCAGGGGAGGAAUCAGCUUCAUCGUUUGGGAUCCCCAAGCCUUCUCCGCUAAUUUACUGCCUCGAUUCUUCAAGCACAAUAACUUCUCAAGCUUCAUCCGGCAGCUCAACACUUACGGUUUUAGGAAGAUUAAUCCAGAGAGAUGGGAGUUUGCCAAUGAAGGAUUCUUGAGAGGCCAAAAGCAUCUUCUUAGGACAAUUAGGAGAAGAAAACCACUAGCAUCACACUCUGAGUCUCUGCCUCUAGAACAAGAAUCAGGUCCUUGCGUUGAGAUCGGUCGAUUCGGGCUUGACGCGGAACUCGACCGGUUGAAACGGGACAAGCAGAUGGUGAUGAUGGAGCUGGUUAGGCUGAGACGUGAGCAGCAGAAUACAAGAGCCUACCUACAAGCAAUGGAGCAAAAGCUGCAAGGGACAGAGAUGAAACAGCGACAGAUGAUGAAAUUCUUAGCAAGAGCAAUGCAGAAUCCAGACUUCAUUCAGCAGCUAGUGCACCAGAAGAAGAAAAGGGAGGUUGAAGAGGCAGCAACAAAGAAGAGGAGAUGGCCCAUUGAUCAAGGACCAAGCAGCUCCAGAGGCAGUGAAGAAGGAACCUCAAACCCCAUUAAGAUUGAGCCUCUGGAGUUUUGUGGAUAUGAAGUAUCUGAACUGGAAGCACUUGCUAUGGAAAUGCAAGGACUAGGGAAGGGAGUAAAGAAAGAAGCAGAAGUAAAGGAAGAGCUGCAGGGUCCAGAGAGUGAAGAUACAGAGCUGGAUGAGGGGUUCUGGGAGGAGUUUUUCAGUGAAAGAAUAGAAGAAGACGACGUGAAAGCAUUGAGCCAUCGCUUCGACUGUUUCGGUUCAACCCGAAAGUAAGGUAGCUGGAAAACACACUAUCUCCAUUUCUUCUGGGAUGGGAAAUCAUGGCAAGCACAGAAUUAAAAGGGAAACUGUCUUUUCCUCUUCUCUUUAUCUCUCUCUAUGCUCUUAAUUUCACACAACAAAGCUGCUCCUCAUUUUUUGUGUGGUGGGUUUUUGAAGCUGCAGGUAAAUUUAGGUGGAGAGGGAGGCCAUGGGAGGCAGAGGAUGAUACAGAACCAAGAAAUGAGGGAAGAGGGUGCAGAAGAAGCAGCCAAAAUGGAGGAGGGCCCAAGCUGGUGAGCAGCAGCAGUUGGUAGUUAAGUGGGUCGGUGUGGCUGUUUGUUGGUUUGAAAUGAAAUGGUCGGUGUUGAGCCUGAGUUUUCGUUGUCAAGCCACUUCCAAAAAAUCCCAGAUAUUUCCCCAUUCCUUUCACCGUCCUUCUUGCAACCCAUAUGCAAAUGCUACACUUUUUUUUUGUCUCUCUUUUUUAUUGCCUUUUGAGAUUGAUGUCUACGUAUUUAUAAACUUCUCGGAUUUUUUUCGGAUUAA
Molecule: RNA transcript, 2003 nt
Organism: Cucurbita pepo subsp. pepo (vegetable marrow)
Lineage: Eukaryota; Viridiplantae; Streptophyta; Magnoliopsida; Cucurbitales; Cucurbitaceae
Gene name: heat stress transcription factor A-6b
Source: RefSeq, a predicted model, not a curated record